UACGGAGGGGGCUAGCGUUGUUCGGAAUUACUGGGCGUAAAGCGCGCGUAGGCGGACCUGCAAGUCGGGGGUGAAAGCCCGAGGCUCAACCUCGGAACUGCCUUCGAUACUGCGGGUCUCGAGUCCGGGAGAGGUGAGUGGAAUUCCUAGUGUAGAGGUGAAAUUCGUAGAUAUCGGGAGGAACACCGGUGGCGAAGGCGGUUCUCUGGGCCUUACCUGACGCUGAGGAGCGAAAGCGUGGGGAGCGAACAGG
Molecule: ribosomal RNA, 253 nt
Filed under: uncultured bacterium
Lineage: Bacteria
Description: partial 16S ribosomal RNA
Rfam family: Bacterial small subunit ribosomal RNA
Source: RNAcentral